Molecule: transfer RNA, 80 nt
Filed under: Macleaya cordata
Lineage: Eukaryota; Viridiplantae; Streptophyta; Magnoliopsida; Ranunculales; Papaveraceae
Rfam family: tRNA
About the family: Transfer RNA (tRNA) molecules are approximately 80 nucleotides in length. Their secondary structure includes four short double-helical elements and three loops (D, anti-codon, and T loops).
Source: Rfam by way of RNAcentral
GACAGUUUGGCCAAGUGGUCUAUCGCGUCAAAUUUAGGCCCAACUCUGCAAGGAAGUGGGUUCAAAUCCCACAGCUAUCA